CCUACGGGAGGCAGCAGUGGGGAAUCUUGCGCAAUGGGCGAAAGCCUGACGCAGCCAUGCCGCGUGAAUGAUGAAGGUCUUAGGAUUGUAAAAUUCUUUCAGUAGGGACGAUAAUGACGGUACCUACAGAAGAAGCCCCGGCUAACUUCGUGCCAGCAGCCGCGGUAAUACGAAGGGGGCUAGCGUUGCUCGGAAUUACUGGGCGUAAAGGGAGCGUAGGCGGGUUAUCAAGUUGGAGGUGAAAGCCCAGGGCUCAACCUUGGAAUUGCCUUCAAAACUGAUAGCCUAGAGUAUGAUAGAGGUAAGUGGAACUCCGAGUGUAGAGGUGAAAUUCGUAGAUAUUCGGAAGAACACCAGUGGCGAAGGCGACUUACUGGAUCAUGACUGACGCUGAGGCUCGAAAGCGUGGGGAGCAAACAGGAUUAGAUACCCUGGUAGCCCACGCUGUAAACGAUGAUUGUNUAGUGUCGACGGACGAUGCGUCGGUGACGCAGCUACGACAUAAGACAAUACCGCCGUCGGGAGGUACGGUCGGCGAAGAAGUUAAAACUAACUAAAUAAGUUAAGUUAGUACGGACGUUGAGAGNGCCGACGGACGACGACGAGGGAGGAGGAG
Molecule: ribosomal RNA, 616 nt
Filed under: uncultured bacterium
Lineage: Bacteria
Description: bacterial SSU rRNA
Rfam family: Bacterial small subunit ribosomal RNA (bases 1-517)
Source: RNAcentral